Molecule: unclassified non-coding RNA, 244 nt
Filed under: Ascomycota sp.
Lineage: Eukaryota; Fungi; Ascomycota
Description: partial contains small subunit ribosomal RNA and internal transcribed spacer 1
Rfam family: Eukaryotic small subunit ribosomal RNA (bases 1-47)
Source: RNAcentral
AAAGUCGUAACAAGGUUUCCGUAGGUGAACCUGCGGAAGGAUCAUUAGCGAGAGCCUGCCGCGGACGCAUGUUCGUUGGCAAGCGCGCCAUCCUUGUGUUGUGUAUGUGGUGUUGCGUGCGCACGGUGCCAGCGUGCAGUGUGCACACGCGCGCAUUUUUCACCCUUAUUCUGUAUUUCUAAUCACCUGCCCGUACAUGGGCACCAACAACCGAAAACUGCCAGCAAUGGAUCACUCGGUUCUC